GUGAAAUUGUUGAAAGGGAAACGCUUGAAACGAUUGUUAUCAACUUUAGCCAUUUUUUUUUAACAAAAAUGGCUAGAGAAAUAAUUGAUAAGGCAGCAGCAAUUUUGCUUGGCUUUGACGUCUUGACGAAAAUGUAGCCUUCGGGUGUUAUAGUUUGUCUCUGCCACCAAGCCAAGCGGGAUUGAGGAUCGCCGGGUUUUUUGCGCGCUUUUUUUGCUCAUGUCUAGCGGCCGUUGAUAAGGCGUUGCUUUGCCAACACUUGUCAGCGCUCGUUAGGCAUUGUGCAAACAGCACGUUAGACUUGAAGGUUGCUGUCAAAAUGGUUUUAAUCGACCCGUCUUGAAACACGGACCAAGGAGUGCAACAAACAUGCAAGUCGUAGGGUGUCAAAACCUGAAGGCGCAAUGAAAGUGAAAAGCAAGACAUUUUCGCUCGACGAAAAUAGCACUGCUGCCCGAUUUUGCGGCCCAAAGCCAAAGAAUUUGAGGUUGAGCAUGUUUGCUGCGACCCGAAAGAUGGUGAACUAUGCCUGCAUAGGGCAAAGUCAGAGGAAACUCUGAUGGAGGCUCGUAGCGAUUCUGACGUGCAAAUCGAUCGUCAAAUGUGGGUAUAGGGGCGAAAGACUAAUCGAACCAUCUAGUAGCUGGUUUCCGCCGAAGUUUCCCUCAGGAUAGCAGAGAUUCACAUUAAAUUAGUUUUAUGAGGUAAAGCGAAUGAUUAGAGGAAUGGGGGGCGAAACGCUCUUCACCUAUUCUCAAACUUUAAAUAUGUAAGAUGUUCUUGUUG
This 786-nucleotide ribosomal RNA is filed under the name uncultured Blastocladiomycota. RNAcentral's name for it is "LSU rRNA". It matches the Rfam family "Eukaryotic large subunit ribosomal RNA", at positions 399 to 1089 of the family's 3401-position model. The record is from RNAcentral. Lineage: Eukaryota; Fungi; Blastocladiomycota.